CGGGGUGUGGCUCAGACCGGUAGAGCGCACGGUUCGGGUCCGUGAGGUCCCGGGUUCAAAUCCCGGCACCCCGACUA
Molecule: transfer RNA, 77 nt
Filed under: Anaerolineae bacterium
Lineage: Bacteria; Bacillati; Chloroflexota; Anaerolineae
Description: tRNA-Pro
Rfam family: tRNA
About the family: Transfer RNA (tRNA) molecules are approximately 80 nucleotides in length.
Source: RNAcentral